RNAcentral lists this ribosomal RNA (305 nucleotides) under uncultured bacterium. RNAcentral describes it as "bacterial SSU rRNA". It matches the Rfam family "Bacterial small subunit ribosomal RNA", at positions 335 to 653 of the family's 1533-position model. The record is from RNAcentral.
UCUCCUACGGGAGGCAGCAGUGGGGAAUAUUGGGCAAUGGAGGCAGCUCUUACCCAGCAAUGCCGCGUGAAUGAAGAAGGUCUUCGGAUUGUAAAGUUCUUUAAUUGGGGACGAAAAAAAUGACGGUACCCAAGGAAUAAGCCCCGGCUAACUACGUGCCAGCAGCCGCGGUAAUACGUAGGGGGCAAGCGUUGUUCGGAAUGACUGGGCGUAAAGGGUGUGUAGGCGGUGUAGCAAGUUAGAAGUGAAAUACCUAGAGCUUAACUCAGGAGCUGCUUCUAAAACUGCUAUACUUGAGUGCGGUA